UCAAAUUUAAAAUCUGGCGACCUUUGGCCGUCCGAGUUGUAAUUUAGAGAAGCGUCUUCCGCACCAUACCGUGCAAAAGUCUCCUGGAAUGGAGCGUCAUAGAGGGUGAGAAUCCCGUCUUUGGCACGGACGCUUGGUGCUUCUGUGAUGCGCUCUCGAAGAGUCGAGUUGUUUGGGAAUGCAGCUCAAAAUGGGUGGUGAACUCCAUCUAAAGCUAAAUAUUGGCGAGAGACCGAUAGCGAACAAGUACCGUGAGGGAAAGAUGAAAAGCACUUUGGAAAGAGAGUGAAACAGUACGUGAAAUUGUUGAAAGGGAAACGCUUGAAGUCAGUCGCGUUGACCAAGACUCAACCUUGCUUCGGCUUGGUGUUCUUCUUGGCUUAACGGGCCAGCAUCAAUUUUGCCUCUUGGAUAAUGGCAAGGGAAAGGUGGCACCUUUACGGGUGUGUUAUAGUCUUUUGUCGCAUGCGAGGGGUGGGAUUGAGGAACUCAGCACGCGCCUCUUGGUGUCGGGGUUUCGGCCCACGAUACGUGCUUAGGAUGUUGGCGUAAUGGCUUUAAACGACCCGUCUUGAAACACGGACCAAGGAGUCUAACAUGCCCGCGAGUGUUCGGGUGGAAAACCCGUGCGCGUAAUGAAAGUAAAAGUUGGGACCUCUGUCGUGGAGGGCACCGACGCCCGGACCAGACCUUCUGUGACGGAUCUGCGGUAGAGCGUGUAUGUUGGGACCCGAAAGAUGGUGAACUAUGCCUGAAUAGGGUGAAGCCAGAGGAAACUCUGGUGGAGGCUCGUAGCGAUUCUGACGUG
Molecule: ribosomal RNA, 808 nt
Filed under: Lactifluus sp. CAM-2021a
Lineage: Eukaryota; Fungi; Basidiomycota; Agaricomycetes; Russulales; Russulaceae
Description: partial large subunit ribosomal RNA
Rfam family: Eukaryotic large subunit ribosomal RNA
Source: RNAcentral